UCGUCUUGUGCCAUUGCUCGAUCAAGCACCUUCUCGUAGCCUGAUCUUGAGCCGGCUACCCGUCUCGGCGAGUAAAAGACAAGAGAAACCCCGACAACGUUUUUUGAGUACGGAACCUCUAGUACUCGUACGUAUAGAGUCUUUCGUAAUUUAUCAGUUGUUACAUAC
This is a non-coding RNA of Stachybotrys chartarum IBT 40288, 168 nucleotides long. NCBI's taxonomy places the organism in Eukaryota, Fungi, Ascomycota, Sordariomycetes, Hypocreales, Stachybotryaceae. The record is from Rfam.